RNAcentral lists this ribosomal RNA (250 nucleotides) under uncultured bacterium. RNAcentral describes it as "partial 16S ribosomal RNA". It matches the Rfam family "Bacterial small subunit ribosomal RNA", at positions 524 to 773 of the family's 1533-position model. The record is from RNAcentral.
UACGGAGGGUGCGAGCGUUAAUCGGAAUUACUGGGCGUAAAGCGUGCGUAGGCGGAAGCUUAAGUCUGAUGUGAAAGCCCCGGGCUUAACCUGGGAAUGGCAUUGGAAACUGGGUUUCUAGAGUGUGGUAGAGGAUAGUGGAAUUUCCAGUGUAGCGGUGAAAUGCGUAGAUAUUGGAAAGAACACCGAUGGCGAAGGCAGCUGUCUGGGCCAACACUGACGCUGAGGUACGAAAGCGUGGGGAGCAAAC